AGCAGCCGCGGUAAUUCCAGCUCCAAUAGCGUAUAUUAAAGUUGUUGCAGUUAAAAAGCUCGUAGUUGAAUUUCGGGGUUAGUAGGUUGGUCAUGCCUCUGGUAUGUAUUGGUCUCACUGAUUCCUCCUUCUUGUAGAACCGUAAUGCCAUUAAGUUGGUGUUGCGGGGAAACAGGACUGUUACUUUGAAAAAAUUAGAGUGUUUAAAGCAAGCUAACGCUUGAAUACAUUAGCAUGGAAUAAUGAAAUAGGACGAACGAUCCUAUUUUGUUGGUUUCUAGGAUUGACGUGAUGAUUAAUAGGGAUAGUUGGGGGCAUUAGUAUUCAAUUGUCAGAGGUGAAAUUCUUGGAUUUAUUGAAGACUAACUACUGCGAAAGCAUUUUGCCAAGGAUGUUUUCAUUAAUCGAGAACGAAAGUUAGGGGAUCGAAGACGAUCAGAUACCGUCGUAGUCUUAACCAUAAACUAUGCCGACUAGGGAUCGGAUGAUGUUAAUUUUAUAAUGACUCAUUCGGCGCCUU
This 520-nucleotide ribosomal RNA is filed under the name uncultured Glomus. RNAcentral's name for it is "SSU rRNA". It matches the Rfam family "Eukaryotic small subunit ribosomal RNA", at positions 569 to 1089 of the family's 1831-position model. Lineage: Eukaryota; Fungi; Glomeromycota; Glomeromycetes; Glomerales; Glomeraceae. The record is from RNAcentral.